This 301-nucleotide unclassified non-coding RNA is filed under the name Glomus sp. Its description in RNAcentral is "partial contains 5.8S ribosomal RNA, internal transcribed spacer 2, and large subunit ribosomal RNA". The stretch from base 1 to 71 matches the Rfam family "5.8S ribosomal RNA", at positions 84 to 154 of the family's 154-position model. Lineage: Eukaryota; Fungi; Glomeromycota; Glomeromycetes; Glomerales; Glomeraceae. The record is from RNAcentral.
GUGAAUCAUCAAAUUUUUGAACGCAAAUUGCACUUUCGGGUAUUCCGGAAAGUAUGCCUGGUUGAGGUUCAGUUAAAUAAAAAUCGGGGUUGUUGCUGCCUUUCGUGUUGACGCGUCGGAAUUGGGUCGUCUUACCCUCGGUUAAGUGACUUAAAAUUUUUGCAUGAUUUUCGAACGUAUUUAAAUCGCUUACGUACGUUUGAGAUAUCGAAUUCUUAUUAUGUUCGGUCAUUCCCAUGAUUCGCGCCUAUAAUUUUUCAUUAAAUGACCUCAAAUCAGGGAAGAAUACCCGCUUAACUUU